Molecule: ribosomal RNA, 1026 nt
Filed under: Serratia nematodiphila
Lineage: Bacteria; Pseudomonadati; Pseudomonadota; Gammaproteobacteria; Enterobacterales; Yersiniaceae
Description: partial 23S ribosomal RNA
Rfam family: Bacterial large subunit ribosomal RNA
Source: RNAcentral
CCAAAUAAUUUAACUUGGGAGUCAGAACAUGGGUGAUAAGGUCCGUGUUCGAAAGGGAAACAGCCCAGACCACCAGCUAAGGUCCCAAAAUAUAUGUUAAGUGGAAAAGGAUGUGGCGUUGCCCAGACAACUAGGAUGUUGGCUUAGAAGCAGCCAUCAUUUAAAGAGUGCGUAAUAGCUCACUAGUCGAGUGACACUGCGCCGAAAAUGUACCGGGGCUAAACAUAUUACCGAAGCUGUGGAUUGUCCUUUAGGACAAUGGUAGGAGAGCGUUCUAAGGGCGUUGAAGCAUGAUCGCAAGGACAUGUGGAGCGCUUAGAAGUGAGAAUGCCGGUGUGAGUAGCGAAAGACGGGUGAGAAUCCCGUCCACCGAUUGACUAAGGUUUCCAGAGGAAGGCUCGUCCGCUCUGGGUUAGUCGGGUCCUAAGCUGAGGCCGACAGGCGUAGGCGAUGGAUAACAGGUUGAUAUUCCUGUACCACCAUGAUUCGUUUUAAGCGAUGGGGGGACGCAGUAGGAUAGGCGAAGCGUGCUGUUGGAGUGCACGUCUAAGCAGUAAGACUGAGUGUUAGGCAAAUCCGGCACUCAUUAAGGUCAAGCUGUGAUGGGGAGAAGAAACAUGUUUUCUUCGAGUCGUUGAUUUCACACUGCCAAGAAAAGCCUCUAGCUAGAAGAUUGGUGCCCGUACCGCAAACCGACACAGGUAGUCAAGAUGAGAAUUCUAAGGUGAGCGAGCGAACUCUCGUUAAGGAACUCGGCAAAAUGACCCCGUAACUUCGGGAGAAGGGGUGCUCUUUGAGGUUCACGCUUCGAAGAGCCGCAGUGAAUAGGCCAAAGCGACUGUUUAUCAAAAACACAGGUCUCUGCUAAACCGUAAGGUGACGUAUAGGGGCUGACGCCUGCCCGGUGCUGGAAGGUUAAGAGGAGUGGUUAGCAUUAGCGAAGCUACGAAUCGAAGCCCCAGUAAACGGCGGCCGUAACUAUAACGGUCCUAAGGUAGCGAAAUUCCUUGUCGGGUAAGUUCCGAC